UACAGCGGGUGCAAGCGUUGUUCGGAAUUAUUGGGCGUAAAGCGCGUGUAGGCGGCUUUGCAAGUCGGGUGUGAAAGCCCUCAGCUCAACUGAGGAAGUGCGCCCGAAACUGCAGAGCUUGAGUGCCGGAGAGGGUGGCGGAAUUCCCCAAGUAGAGGUGAAAUUCGUUGAUAUGGGGAGGAACACCGGUGGAGAAGGCGGCCACCUGGACGGUAACUGACGCUGAGACGCGAAAGCGUGGGGAGCAAACAGG
This 253-nucleotide ribosomal RNA is filed under the name uncultured bacterium. RNAcentral describes it as "partial 16S ribosomal RNA". It matches the Rfam family "Bacterial small subunit ribosomal RNA", at positions 524 to 776 of the family's 1533-position model. The record is from RNAcentral.